Molecule: transfer RNA, 75 nt
Filed under: Azorhizobium caulinodans
Lineage: Bacteria; Pseudomonadati; Pseudomonadota; Alphaproteobacteria; Hyphomicrobiales; Xanthobacteraceae
Also listed under: 258 other names
Description: tRNA-Val
Rfam family: tRNA
About the family: Transfer RNA (tRNA) molecules are approximately 80 nucleotides in length. Their secondary structure includes four short double-helical elements and three loops (D, anti-codon, and T loops).
Source: RNAcentral
GGGCGCGUAGCUCAGCGGGAGAGCACUACGUUGACAUCGUAGGGGUCACAGGUUCGAUCCCUGUCGCGCCCACCA